AUGAUCAUUAAAACCCAAGUGAGCUGCACGGACCUAAGGACGGGCCCCACCGGGAGGGGACAUCUGGUGAGCAAGGAGGCUUGCGGGGCUGCAGCCCGUCAGGGCUUCCCCUUCUUCUGUCUGUCAAAAAAUGCAUGGCCGAAAAGAGAGGUACAGCGACGUGGACCUGCCUCGCCGGGCGCAGCAAGGGUUAACGGCCUACGUGCGAUAGCGCCACGAAACGGCUUCCUCGCUCGCCCUUUCGGCCGGACUUGGACGCGGGAAGCGGUGAGAUGCUAACGCAUCCAUAAAGAUCAUGGACAGUUCUGCACAGAGAAGAGAAGUUCAGUCUCGAUGCAUUCCUGGGCUUUGAGACUCUACAAAGCUCCAUGGAGUUGACUCUGGCACACUGCUAGGCACAAGUGGAAAAGCUGUGAGUUUGAGUGUGGGGGCUGUGACAUACUCACCUGAUAAUGAAUGUACAAUUGUCUUUCAUUUGUUUAUUUUGGCUUCUUGAUCUCCACACCAGGUUGUAUUGUUUUCAUCUUUAAUUAGCACAUCUAUUCCCUUGGCCUUGGAUUGUUGCUUUGGAGAUGCACAAGGGACCUUUGGAGACCUGCUCAUUACAGCAGCAGGUGUGCAUAAAGCCAACCUGGACAAGCCUGC
This 645-nucleotide long non-coding RNA is filed under the name Apteryx owenii (little spotted kiwi). Its description in RNAcentral is "lncRNA (ENSAOWG00000005844.1)". Lineage: Eukaryota; Metazoa; Chordata; Aves; Apterygiformes; Apterygidae. The record is from RNAcentral.